This 73-nucleotide transfer RNA is filed under the name Ixodes scapularis (black-legged tick). It matches the Rfam family "tRNA". Rfam says of the family: Transfer RNA (tRNA) molecules are approximately 80 nucleotides in length. Their secondary structure includes four short double-helical elements and three loops (D, anti-codon, and T loops). Further hydrogen bonds mediate the characteristic L-shaped molecular structure. tRNAs have two regions of fundamental functional importance: the anti-codon, which is responsible for specific mRNA codon recognition, and the 3' end, to which the tRNAs corresponding amino acid is attached (by aminoacyl-tRNA synthetases). tRNAs cope with the degeneracy of the genetic code in two manners: having more than one tRNA (with a specific anti-codon) for a particular amino acid; and 'wobble' base-pairing, i.e. permitting non-standard base-pairing at the 3rd anti-codon position. The record is from Rfam by way of RNAcentral. Lineage: Eukaryota; Metazoa; Arthropoda; Arachnida; Ixodida; Ixodidae.
CCCUGGUUAGCUCAAUUGGUAGAGCGCUAAACCUGUAAUGGAGAGGUCCCGGGUUCGAUACCCAGACCAGGCG